CGACAUGUUUUAUGGGAUUAUAGAGCAGAGAAAUGGAGAACGUUAGUCUCUAGUAUAUUGAACAUGGCUCUCCAUUGUGCUUAUCUGACUGGUGAUUUAGAAGAAUACGUGACUCUUGGCUUAGAAUUUACGGGGAAUUGGAUUCAAGCAAGUUUAGAAGAAAAACAAUAAUUCAGACAAGUAUUAGUAAUAUUUUAUCGGGUAAAUGCCCAAGGUCGUUUCCUAGUACUGCCGAAGAGGAUAUCAAUUUGGCAGAUAAACUGUGGCAGACGGCAUUAGCAGAAUCAAAUUUUCCUCAUAUUUUUCCUAUUCAAAUGAGUUCUAUUAUUCCUUU
This is a long non-coding RNA of Centruroides sculpturatus (bark scorpion), 334 nucleotides long. RefSeq lists it as uncharacterized. The record is from RefSeq and is a predicted model, not a curated record. NCBI's taxonomy places the organism in Eukaryota, Metazoa, Arthropoda, Arachnida, Scorpiones, Buthidae. The transcript is spliced from 3 exons.